CCGCCCGUCACACCACGAGAGUUUGUAACACCCGAAGCCGGUGGAGUAACCUUUUAGGAGCUAGCCGUCGAAGGUGGGACAAAUGAUUGGGGUGAAGUCGUAACAAGGUAGCCGUAUCGGAAGGUGCGGCUGGAUCACCUCCUUUCUAAGGA
Molecule: ribosomal RNA, 152 nt
Filed under: Staphylococcus aureus
Lineage: Bacteria; Bacillati; Bacillota; Bacilli; Caryophanales; Staphylococcaceae
Description: partial 16S ribosomal RNA
Rfam family: Bacterial small subunit ribosomal RNA
Source: RNAcentral